Molecule: long non-coding RNA, 1455 nt
Organism: Anastrepha ludens (Mexican fruit fly)
Lineage: Eukaryota; Metazoa; Arthropoda; Insecta; Diptera; Tephritidae
Exons: 2
Source: RefSeq, a predicted model, not a curated record
CUUCCUUUGUUUGUAUGCAUUUACGUGUUUAUGUACCAUCGGCAUAUUAUUUCCAUCCUAUCCUUCUCCUCAAUUUUUGCCUUAUAUAUUCGUAUAUUCGUUUCUCUCUAUCUCUUAUCAGAAUUCUUGUUUUAAUGCGCAGUGAAAUGAGAAAUUGCGCGCAAAAAAUAUAUUUCGUAAACUAGAAGAGCACAAAAACUAAAUCUGAUUGCCAGUGACACCCUGUUGCAGCAAUGACAGCUGUUCUAAGCCUCCCCACCAUAUUCCACGAUUCGAUAGUACCGACCCCAAGUACUAAUAAUAGUACGGAGACGCUACCAUCUAAAUCGUAGGCGCCAUCAACGCCGUAUACAGAUAUCGAGUCACACGCGCAUAGCCAAUCCGCAGCGCUUCCCCACCAACCAAACCCUACCUCCUACCUCCUCUUAAGCUUUUAACGCUUUUGCAAAUGAAGCCGAUGACUACGAAGGAAGCAGUCAAGCCGAAGCAAAUCUUAUAAAUACUUUUAGAUGCCGCACACACAUUUUAACUCAUAACUGGCCUAGGUUUGUACUUGUGUGCGUGUGUGAAUGGCCAAAUGCCAAUAUUAGCCAACCAGAAGUGAACUGACGGACGACUGUCGCGUCGGCUAGUACAACCAACUCACCGCGCGCGUAUAUACACACAACAACAGCAAAGUAUGCUGUCGCGACUUUCCGCAAAGCGAAUAUGCAGAUAGAGGAAUUUACAAACAAAAUACGAAAUAAAAUGGAUCACGAAGAGCGCAAACACAUACGUAUACAACUACAUGCAAUAUGUACAUAUGGUAUCUCUCUUUGUAGUUACGAAAUUGAAUAAAAUAAAAUAUAAUAUAUUGCAUGUACAAAAGAUGGAAAGAGUAAAAACGGGGAGUCAAAACAAUAGAACAAAAACAAAAUCGAAACGUAUGCACACCAGUAGUUGUUCCGUUGCCGCCACUUCCCCUUCUUUAAUUUACCAUAGAGCAGCUCCAACAUACCAACAACCCCAGUUGAUUCAGAGUAGAGGCAGUUGAGAGUAUAAAUGCAGGUGUGCGAGUGUGUGUAAAUAGUGGAUCUGAUCAUGAGCGAUUGAGAGAAUGAAGUGGAGCCAUAUUGAGAAGAGUUGUCAAGUGACAAACACUUACAUUGAAUAAGUGAAUAAUCAAUUUUGUGAAAACCAAAAAUAAACAGAAAUUGGCAACUCUACCGGCUAAUGGUUUAAAACAGCUGACCGACUCACACGCUGUUACUUACGACGUAGCCACGGCUAUCGCAGUCGACGUUCACAUUUUCAGCAGCAACAGAAACAGCUGUAGCAACAAAAGUAGACGUAAAUGGCAGCCGUGAUUCACCGCUUUACCCAUCGACAUUUCCUGAGGCAAUGACACUAACAACUGCACCACAGCCAUGAGUAUUACCGAAAAACUACCAACAAGACAAGAGAAGUAAAAAGAAA